This 254-nucleotide ribosomal RNA is filed under the name uncultured bacterium. Its description in RNAcentral is "partial 16S ribosomal RNA". It matches the Rfam family "Bacterial small subunit ribosomal RNA", at positions 524 to 777 of the family's 1533-position model. The record is from RNAcentral.
UACGAAGGGGGCGAGCGUUGUUCGGAAUUACUGGGCGUAAAGGGCGCGCAGGCGGCUCUGAAAGUCAGAUGUGAAAGCCCCGGGCUUAACCUGGGAAUUGCAUUUGAUACUCUGGAGCUUGAGUACGGGAGAGGAGAGUGGAAUUCCCAGUGUAGAGGUGAAAUUCGUAGAUAUUGGGAAGAACACCGGUGGCGAAGGCGGCUCUCUGGACCGUAACUGACGCUGAGGCGCGAAAGCGUGGGGAGCAAACAGGG